UCCUACGGGAGGCAGCAGUGGGGAAUAUUGGACAAUGGGGGGAACCCUGAUCCAGCCAUGCCGCGUGUGUGAAGAAGGCCCUCGGGUUGUAAAGCACUUUCAGCGAGGAAGAACGCCUAGCGGUUAAUACCCGCUAGGAAAGACAUCACUCGCAGAAGAAGCACCGGCUAACUCCGUGCCAGCAGCCGCGGUAAUACGGAGGGUGCAAGCGUUAAUCGGAAUUACUGGGCGUAAAGCGCGCGUAGGUGGCUUGAUAAGUCGGUUGUGAAAGCCCCGGGCUCAACCUGGGAACGGCAUCCGGAACUGUCAAGCUAGAGUGCAGGAGAGGAAGGUAGAAUUCCCGGUGUAGCGGUGAAAUGCGUAGAGAUCGGGAGGAAUACCAGUGGCGAAGGCGGCCUUCUGGACUGACACUGACACUGAGGUGCGAAAGCGUGGGUAGCAAACAGGAUUAGAUACCCUGGUAGUCCACGCCGUAAACGAUGUCGACCAGCCGUUGGGUGCCUAGCGCACUUUGUGGCGAAGUUAACGCGAUAAGUCGACCGCCUGGGGAGUACGGCCGCAAGGUUAAAACUCAAAUGAAUUGACGG
RNAcentral lists this ribosomal RNA (587 nucleotides) under uncultured bacterium. RNAcentral's name for it is "bacterial SSU rRNA". It matches the Rfam family "Bacterial small subunit ribosomal RNA", at positions 337 to 916 of the family's 1533-position model. The record is from RNAcentral.